UUAUAUGCAAUGAAAUGUUGUGUGAAAUUUUCACUGUAACACUGGAAAGGAUUAAACUUUACACAUGCAAAGUAUUUCCUUGGUUAAAAUAAAGGUAAAAACUGUACAAUUUUUUUUAAAGUACCAAUUUAACAAAGACUAAUAGGGAAAAAUCAAUGGUGGUAUUACACCUAUUUAGGGAAACUACAUGUGCACUCGUGACCUUAUUGUACUUUCAUUUUUAAAAGUUAUUAAUAAACCAGUUCAUACAUUGUAAACAUGGACUAUUCGGAAUGGAUUGAGACACAGAAAGCACGUUUGAGUGUUCACAUGUUCUGAAGAGCAUUCUGUUGAAAAAUCUUAUAUGUGAAUAGGUCUGCAGAUGACACUUCAGCAUUAAAACAAAAGAUAUCAAAUUUUGAUGAAAAUGGAAGGAAGGAGGAAUAAUGGACCAAAACAGACCAAAACAGACCUUCAAAUGAACUCUAAAAGGUGCAUUAAAAUUGUUUAUCAUCUAAAAGUUGUCUUUUUUAUUCUAUUUAAUUUUUUGAAUGCAUAGAUUAUGAGUUUUUGAUCAGAUAUUAGCCAACACUGCAUUUUAUAAUGAUACACUGAAAUUAGGAUUUUUCGAAGAAAUUAGACUGAAAUUGUCUUAGGAUAUGGCCUUACAUUAUAGUGAUUUUCUCUGAAACUAUAGCUCUGACUGAGACAAAACUUGACAGUUAUGCUUGAAAUAACUUGCAAUUGGAGGGAAAACAAUUACAUUAAGUUUAUUUGACAUUUAGGUGUUCUUUAGGUGUAAUACCACCAAAUCAUUGUACGUCACAUCC
This is a long non-coding RNA of Mytilus trossulus (common blue mussel), 809 nucleotides long. RefSeq lists it as uncharacterized. The record is from RefSeq and is a predicted model, not a curated record. The transcript is spliced from 3 exons. NCBI's taxonomy places the organism in Eukaryota, Metazoa, Mollusca, Bivalvia, Mytilida, Mytilidae.